AUUGAACGCUGGCGGCAUGCCUUACACAUGCAAGUCGAACGGUAACAGGUCUUCGGAUGCUGACGAGUGGCGAACGGGUGAGUAAUACAUCGGAACGUGCCCGAGAGUGGGGGAUAACGAAGCGAAAGCUUUGCUAAUACCGCAUACGAUCUCAGGAUGAAAGCAGGGGACCGCAAGGCCUUGCGCUCACGGAGCGGCCGAUGGCAGAUUAGGUAGUUGGUGGGAUAAAAGCUUACCAAGCCGACGAUCUGUAGCUGGUCUGAGAGGACGACCAGCCACACUGGGACUGAGACACGGCCCAGACUCCUACGGGAGGCAGCAGUGGGAAUUUGGACAAUGGGCGCAAGCCUGAUCCAGCCAUGCCGCGUGCAGGAUGAAGGCCUUCGGGUUGUAAACUGCUUUGUACGGAACGAAAAGACUCUGGUUAAUACCGUGGGUCCAGUGACGGUACCGUAAGAAGUAAGCGACCGGACUAACACGUAGCCAGCCGCCGUAACC
This 498-nucleotide ribosomal RNA is filed under the name uncultured bacterium. RNAcentral describes it as "bacterial SSU rRNA". It matches the Rfam family "Bacterial small subunit ribosomal RNA", at positions 30 to 525 of the family's 1533-position model. The record is from RNAcentral.